UUCUCUUUUCUUUUCUUUGUUUUCGGUUGGUCCAAAAGAGGGAACCUCCAGGUCACUCUCCUCUCUCUCACCUCAUUCCCGGAAAAAGAACCCUAAGGACUCCCCACAAAAACCCUAGCCGCAACUCUCCUCCGGCGGCCCUGAGCUCCCUUCCCCCCAGCUCACGUUUUCCUCAGGGAGAAUGCCCAUCCUCAGCUCCCACAGCUCACCUCUUAGCUCGCCCUCACACUCUCCCUAAGCUCCGUCCCAUUCCCAACAAGCCCUCAGCUGAGUUGCCCCCACCUCCUCUCUGACUCCCUCAGCUCCUCACACCUUCAGCUCCCAGUAAAAGCCCUCAGCUGCGGAUCCUCUCCGAUCCCCCCAUGUCCUCAGCUCGACCUCCUCCCGUUUAUCUCUUUCCUACUGUGUUGCCGCCCCUUUUCCUCCUUGUUGCAGGUUCUUCCCGAGCCUCCUCGACUCGUCCGCCCGCUGUCCAGUCCCUUCUCCAGCUUGUGGAGCUGUUCGGCUGCUCCCGCUCCCCUCCCCUUUCCCUUGUAGUUGCUGCAGGUUACUGGCUGUUACUCGACCCCUUUGAAGAUGCUGUCCCUGGUUGCUGUGCUCACAACAGUAGUACAGUCCCGACCCCCUUCAUGUGGCUCUGAUGGUUAAAGAGGACUUGGUGAGCUUCUCCAUCCUGAAACUAACUGGUCACAUUGGUUGUGUUGUCGGAGAUUUCGUUGAUCGAUUUCGGAUAUGUUUUACUUGAUUUCCAUGGUCUUAGAUUGUGUUUGAGUUUAUGGCUGAGACGUAUGAUGUUUGAUCGACUGAUCUCGAAUUGAUAUAGCAGGUUUUAACGGUUAUAAUUCCGUUUAAUAUAUGGGUUGAGUUGAACAAUGCAUUUUUGAUCCAUUUGAGCUCGCUUUGGCAUGAUUUAGACAACUUUAAGUCGUGUUUAUGAGGUAGACUGAAUUGUGUGGUAAUUUAUUACUUUGUUCAAGACGGUUGGACAUGAUUUUGACUUGUUGCAAUGGUCUGACACGUAGUUGAGCUGUGGAGUAUUCAUCUGGGUGAUUUAAGAGAAUUUAGUUAGAUAUUGAUUGCUUGAACUUGAACUCUAGGUACAAACUGAAUUUCUCAUUAAUUAGUUGGUCGACUUGGAAUGAUUUGGCAUGAGUUCGAUUACCUGGUGUUGUGUUCGGUAGCGUGGCUUAUUGGAAUGGUAACAGAAAACCGACUUCUUGCUUGAUAUUAAGUAUGGAUGCCUCUAGAUGACGAUCCCUUGUAUGUAGGUCUCUUUGAAGUCAAAUAUAAACGAUGUACACAUUCUGGUUGGUCUUGAUUUGCAGCCUUAGAAACUCGUUUUGAUCAUCCUCUUGCCAUAGGAUGGGUCUUCCCCGUGUCUAGAUGCCCUGGGGUCACUUUCCCUUACUUUCUAUGCCAUUUUGGGCAUUAUAAAGUCAAGAUAUGAGUUUUUUUUUUAAUUCGUGACCAGAAUCUAAUUCGAAGUCGUGGAGCUCACUUUAUCAAACUUAUCCUUCUAGAUCCUAUUCAUGGCUCGUAUGUUUGCCCUUGCCCCGAUUCUCCCGUGUUUGUUUCUUGUCUUGCAUGUCUCACGAGAGGAGAAGAAAGGGGAGAUAUAAGAAGAUAUUUGGCCAAUGCCAAUGGAGCUCCAAGACGACGUGGAGACUUACCUAGGCUUAGGUUGAGUCCCGACUUGAAGGCCGCCCCUGUCCGUGGUAGUCAAGGAUCUUCCGAGCUAGCUCAUCCUGAGAAUCUCUUGGGAUCGGCGCAGAAAUCAACACACAUUCGCCAAGUACCAUCUUUCUUUGGCACCAGCAACACCGGGACCGCACAAGGACUCAUGCUCUCACGCACAUGCCCUUUAGCUAAAAGCUCAUCCACUUGCCUUUGAAGUUCCUUUGUCUCCUCCGAAUUACUUCGAUAAGCUGGCCGGUUCGGAAUCACGACUCCUGGCACAAAGUCGAUUUGAUGCUCUAUUCCCCUUAUUGGUGGCAAACGAUUGGGUAACUCCCUAGGAAAGACAUCUCCAAACUCCUGCAAAAGAGAGGUAACAGAACUUGGCAAAGAAGAAUUAAGGUCAGAGAAAUAAGCCUCCUUGUAAACGAACAAGAUCACUGGGCAAUUAACUUUAAAUGCACUCUUGAUCUCUCUUUC
Molecule: non-coding RNA, 2154 nt
Organism: Punica granatum (pomegranate)
Lineage: Eukaryota; Viridiplantae; Streptophyta; Magnoliopsida; Myrtales; Lythraceae
Source: RefSeq, a predicted model, not a curated record